RNAcentral lists this ribosomal RNA (450 nucleotides) under uncultured bacterium. RNAcentral describes it as "partial 16S ribosomal RNA". It matches the Rfam family "Bacterial small subunit ribosomal RNA", at positions 354 to 796 of the family's 1533-position model. The record is from RNAcentral.
GUGGGGAAUUUUGGACAAUGGGCGCAAGCCUGAUCCAGCAAUGCCGCGUGCAGGAAGAAGGCCUUCGGGUUGUAAACUGCUUUUGUACGGAACGAAAAGGCUCUGGUUAAUACCUGGGGCUCAUGACGGUACCGUAAGAAUAAGCACCGGCUAACUACGUGCCAGCAGCCGCGGUAAUACGUAGGGUGCAAGCGUUAAUCGGAAUUACUGGGCGUAAAGCGUGCGCAGGCGGUUUUGUAAGACAGACGUGAAAUCCCCGGGGUCAACCUGGGAAUGGCGUUUGUGACUGCAAAGCUGGAGUGCGGCAGAGGGGGAUGGAAUUCCGCGUGUAGCAGUGAAAUGCGUAGAUAUGCGGAGGAACACCGAUGGCGAAGGCAAUCCCCUGGGCCUGCACUGACGCUCAUGCACGAAAGCGUGGGGAGCAAACAGGAUUAGAAACCCGGGUAGUCC